Molecule: ribosomal RNA, 2541 nt
Filed under: Triticum aestivum (bread wheat)
Lineage: Eukaryota; Viridiplantae; Streptophyta; Magnoliopsida; Poales; Poaceae
Description: partial small subunit ribosomal RNA
Source: RNAcentral
AUGUCCAGUGGGCUCAAGAACAAGAAGAAGAAGGGCCACGAGUGGGAUUUGAACGACUGGAGAUGGGAUGGCAACCUCUUCCUGGCCAUGCCGUCGCCAAACGCGGACGCUCCGUCGGGGUGCGGCAGCAGGGAGCUUGGGCGAGCAGAGGAGGGGGGCAGUUUUGGUGCUGCUGCUGCUGACAAGAGGAGGAGGAGGAGGAGAGUCACCACAGUGGAUAACCCCGAGGAGUGCAGCAACACUGCGAUUCCUCAUGAAAGGAUUGCUGUUCGGGGAGGACAGAUCGGCGAAGAAGAGGGACCUGCUAGUGCAGCAGCAGGUGCAUCUUCCAGCUCUGCUCCAUCUUGCCAAGUCGACGGCUGCCACGCGGAUCUGGGCGACGACAGGGACUACCAUAGGAGGCACAAGGUGUGUGAACCGCAUACCAAGUCGACUCUUGUUCGUAUCAGAAACAUAGAGCAUCGGUUCUGCCAGCAGUGCAGCAGGUUUCACCUUGUUCAAGAAUUUGAUGAAGGGAAGAAGAGCUGCCGCUCACGUCUGGCAACACAUAAUAGAAGGAGGAGGAAAGCCCCAGCCGAGGCUGUGAAUUCCUUGGGUGAAAAUCAGUCCUUGACCAACACCUUGCUCCUCUUAUUGAGACAACUCGCUGGACAAGAUUCUGCUGCUAGCUCAUCUGAGCAAAUCAAUGGUCCCAAUCUUUUGGUUAGUCUUUUGAAGAACCUUGCUGCUGUUGCUGGCACACAGGCAUGUCAAGAUAUGCUGAAGGAUGCAACAUCAUCAAAUGCUGGUAACUAUGUUGGGAAUCAAAGUAGACCACCAGUUCAUGCAGAAGAGCCUCCUGUGAAAAGACGUGCGCAGAAUUUUGAUCUGAAUGAUGCUUAUGUCGAGGAAGAUGAGAGCCGAACAGAUAAAAUCAUCUUCAAGCUCUUUGGUAAACAGCCAAAUGAUUUUCCUGCUGAUCUACGUGCACAGAUCCUAAACUGGCUAUCACAUUAUCCAAGUGACAUGGAAAGCUAUAUCAGGCCUGGUUGUGUAAUUCUAACUAUUUACCUUCGUCUUCCUAACUGGAUGUGGGAUAAGCUUAAUGUCGAUCCAGCUCCUUGGAUAGAAAAUCUUAUUAGCAUAUCCACCCGUGGUUUCUGGGAGAAAGGAUGGUUGUAUGCUAGGGUGCAGGACCACCUGACAUUAAGCUGCAAUGGCAGGCUUAUGUUAGUGUCUCCCUGGCAACCUGUAAUAGGCGACAAGCAUCAGAUACUGUGUGUAACUCCCAUUGCGGCUGCUUGUAAUUCGACAGCAAACUUCUCUGUGAGAGGCUUUAACAUAGCUCAACCAGCCACAAAAUUACUCUGUAUAUUUGAUGGGAAAUAUUUAGUCCAAGAAGCAACACAAAAACUACAUGAUGAUACUAGGAUUCAGCAAGGCCCUCAAUGUUUGACCUUUUCUUGCUCCUUCCCUAUUACAAGUGGAAGGGGGUUCAUAGAGGUUGAAGAUUAUGAUCAGAGCAGCAUUUCCUUUCCCUUUGUUGUCGCGGAAGAAUCUAUAUGCUGUGAGAUUCGAAUGUUGGAGGAGAAACUGAAUAUAAUUGCAUUUGGUGAAGGAAGAAAAGAUCUGAUGGCUUCCCGCAGCCAAGCCUUGAAGUUCCUGCAUGAAAUAGGAUGGCUUCUUCAAAGGAGCCACACACGAGCUACAUCAUCUAAGGCUCCACAACAAUUUCGACAUCGUGUUGUGGGUUUUCCUGCUGCAAGAUUUAGAUGGCUCCUGUCCUUUGCAGUUGAUCAGGAAUGGUGUGGCGUCGUAAAGAUGCUGCUGGACACCUUGUUCCAGGGCAAUAUCGAUAUCGCCUCACCAGUUGAGUUUGUCCUGGGAGAGAGCUUAGUAUUCGCAGCUGUCAACAAGCGGUCGAAGCCUUUGGUUGCCAGCCUAUUGAGAUACACAACGAAAUCUGCACCGGUGGGCAGUGGAGCCGUGGCCACACCAGCUCGGUUCUUGUUCACGCCUGACAUGACUGGUCCAUCGGAUAUUACACCUCUCCAUGUUGCAGCUACCAUCAGUAAUGCUGCUGCCGUUUUGGAUGCUCUAACUGAUGAUCCCCAACAGCUGGGGAUCAAAACCUGGAAGAAUGCCCGCGAUGCUAGCGGGUACACUCCAGAGGAUUACGCUCGAAGGAGAGGGCACACGUCCUACAUCCAGAUGGUCCAGAACAAAAUCAACAGCAGGUUACCUGCGGCCCAUGUGUCUGUUUCCAUGACCACCACUGGUAUCGCCGAAAAGCACGCAGAUGCAGGUCGGCCGAGAUCAACUGAUCAGACCGUAUUUGAUGUCGAGAAAAGCCCACCGGGAUGCAGACAAUGUGUCCAGCUCCAGCACAUUGCCUACCGGCCCUGCCCAAACAGGUUCUUGUCGAACAGGCCCGCGGUGCUAUCCUUGGUCGCCAUUGCCGCUGUCUGUGUCUGCGUAGGGUUGAUAAUGCAGAGCCCGCCGGUCAUCCGCGGUUUGCCGGGCCCUUUUCUCUGGAAUCACAUCCGUUGGGGACCCACUUGA